UGCCAGCCGCCGCGGUAAUACGAACUGUGCGAACGUUAUUCGGAAUCACUGGGCUUAAAGGGUGCGUAGGCGGUCAUUUAAGCAGGGUGUGAAAUGCCCCGGCUCAACCGGGGAAUGGCGCUCUGAACUGGAUGGCUUGAGUGAGAUAGAGGUGUGCGGAACUUCCGGUGGAGCGGUGAAAUGUGUUGAUAUCGGAGGGAACACCGUUGGCGAAAGCGGUACACUGGGUCUUAACUGACGCUGAGGCACGAAAGCCAGGGUAGCGAACGGGAUUAGAUA
Molecule: ribosomal RNA, 279 nt
Filed under: uncultured bacterium
Lineage: Bacteria
Description: partial 16S ribosomal RNA
Rfam family: Bacterial small subunit ribosomal RNA
Source: RNAcentral